This 253-nucleotide ribosomal RNA is filed under the name uncultured bacterium. RNAcentral describes it as "partial 16S ribosomal RNA". It matches the Rfam family "Bacterial small subunit ribosomal RNA", at positions 524 to 776 of the family's 1533-position model. The record is from RNAcentral.
UACGUAGGGGGCAAGCGUUGUCCGGAAUCAUUGGGCGUAAAGCGCGCGUAGGUGGCCCGGUAAGUCCGCUCUGAAAGUCACAGGCUCAACCUGUGAAAGCGGGUGGAUACUGCCGGGCUAGAGUCCGGAAGAGGCGAGUGGAAUUCCUGGUGUAGCGGUGGAAUGCGCAGAUAUCAGGAGGAACACCAACGGCGAAGGCAGCUCGCUGGGACGGUACUGACACUGAGGCGCGAAAGCGUGGGGAGCGAACAGG